This is a long non-coding RNA of Pristis pectinata (smalltooth sawfish), 3702 nucleotides long. RefSeq lists it as uncharacterized. Lineage: Eukaryota; Metazoa; Chordata; Chondrichthyes; Rhinopristiformes; Pristidae. The record is from RefSeq and is a predicted model, not a curated record. The transcript has 3 exons.
GAAAGAAUGUGCAAACUCCGCACAGACAGCUUCAAAGGUCAAGAUUGAACCUGAGUUGCCGGAGCUGUGAAGCAUCAGCUCUGCCUGCUGUCCUACAUGUUGCCCAGAGGGAUUUUCCAUUUGAAGAGCAGAUGUUCAAUGCACUCUCCAACUCCCCAGAAAUGGACAGACCAGUGGUGUAUUUCGGAGAAGUGGAUUUACUCUUGACCUCCGGGACUAUAGAAGUUGCAGUGAGAUUUUCCUGGAUCCACAAGGAAAUACUCAACUCCCGGAAACUGCAGUGGAACCUCCGUAUCAUCUUCUCCCACCAGCCCCCUCCCAUCCUGACCCUGUUGGGCUCCCUGAGGCCAAACAGGAACUACAUCAGGAGCCCACCAGAAAGUAGGAUAGAGCCAGGCAUGAAGAUAAAUGGUGGUCAGAAAUUCAACCCACUGAAACUGAGGGGCUGUUGGGGGCAGAGAGGAAACUCAAGCCUUAAUCUAUUGCGGAAAGUCUGAGCACUUAUGAAAUUAUUUAGAAGGAGGGAAGAAGUAACUUUUAUGUUUUGCCAUUCACAACCUAGAGUUCCCCCAAAACACUUCACAGUCAAUAACCCACUGUUGUACUGUGGGAAAUGGGGCAUUUGUAAACAGAAAGAUUCAUCAAUAGCAAAAUAGUAAUGACUAGAUAAUCUGCUCUGGGUGCACAAUGUGGGAUAAAUAAUGUACAGGCAAUAGGAAAGAACUCGCCCGCACUUCUAUAGACUGUGGUAUAUGAUCUUUCACUUCUACGUGAGAGCAGAGGAAGGCUGGUUCGGCAUCUCAUCCCAAUUCAGCACCUUUUUCAGUAAAUUACUUGAUUGAAAUUUCACUCUAGACCUUGGGCUCAGGUUUAUGAAUGUAACUUGAACCUAUACCUUUUCAGCAAGUAGGCAAAAGAGACAUUUUAUGUAUCUAAUCCUUGGCAGCCAUGCCUUCAGCAACCUGGAUAAUAUUCUUCCAAAUUUCCUAAAUCUGUUUGCCUCCCUUAUUCUCACACCUCUUUGUCAUCUGUCACAAUAUCAAAUCUUGCUUGAUAACUCUCCUGUGAAUGGCCUGGAGAUGUUUUAUUAUGUUAUAGGCUCUAUAUAAAUGCAAGCUGUUGUUGUUGAACCAAAUCUAGUGGCUUUCAGGGAAAGGUUAUCACAGGAGGGCAAGGUCAUUUUAACAAAUUCUGGUUCCACAACAUUUCCUUCAACCUAUUUAUUGAACAUAGACAUAGUACAGCGCCGGACAGGCCCUUUGGCCCACAAUGUUUUGCCAAACUAAUUAAACCAAUGACUCCUAAUUAAUCUAAUCCCUCUUCUCUGCAUAUUGACCAUAUCCCUCUCUUACCUUUUUCAAUCCUGGGAAAAGGAUACUGGCCGUCUAGUCUACCUGUGCCUCGCGUAAUUUUAUAAACUUCUAUCAAAUUUCCCCUCAGCCUCCUCCGCUCUAGAGAAAGCAGCCCCAACUUGCCCAACCUCUCCUCAUAGCACAUCCUCCAAACCAGGCAGCAUCCUGGUAAACCUCCUCUGCACCCUCUCCAAAGCCUCCGUCCACAUCCUUCCUGUAAUAAGGUGACCUGAAUUGAACGCAAUACUCCAAAUGUGGCCUAAGCAAAGUUUUAUAAAGCUCUAACAUAACUUCCUGGCCCUUCAACUCAAUGCCUCGACUAAUGAAAGCAAGUAUGCCAUACGCUUUCUUUACCACCCUAUCAACCUGUGCGGCCAAGAUCCCUCUGAUCAUCAACACUAUUAAGGGUCCUGCAAUUAACUGUGUACUCUCCCUUUAUAUUGGAUCUUCCAAAGUGCAGCACCACACAUGCCGGGAUUAAACUCCACCUGCCAGUUCUCUGCCCAUAUCUGGAACUGAUCUAUAUCCCGCUGUAUCCUUUGGCAAUCUUCAAGGCAAUCCACAAUGCCACCAAUCUUUGUAUUAUCUGCAAACUUACCCCACUCUACCAUAUUUUCAUCCAAAUCAUUUACAUAUAUGACAAACAGCAGAGGUCCCAGUACAGAUCCCUGCGGAACACCACUCGUCACAGACCUCCAUCCAGGAUAAGACCCAUCCACCACUACCUUCUGUGUUCUAUGGACAAGCCAAUUUUGGAUCCAAUCAGCCAAGUCACUGUGGAUCCCAUGCAUCCUAAUUUUCUGGAUGAGCCUACCAUGCGGGACCUUGUCGAAUGCCUUACUAAAAUCCAUGUAUGCAACAUCCACUGUUCAACCUCAUCACCUCCUCAAAAAACUCAAUCAGAUUAGUCAGACAUGUCCUGUCCCACACAAAGCCAUGCUGACUGUCCCUAAUUAGACCAUGCUUCUCCAAAUCCUCAUAAAUCCUCAUAUUUGCUAUCAAACUAUCCUGCAAAACUGAAUAACUACACUCUGACUGUCAGUAAUUCUCCAGACAAUAAUGAAAUUCAGUAAGCAUAGGACCAGCCCAAAGAAAGUUAUAGCCUUUUCCUUUAGUGUUUAUAAUUCUUGCAUUCUCCACACGUUCAGAAUAAAGCCUUUCAACACAUUUAAACAAUAUUUUCUGAAAUGAUUUUGAAAUUUUCAAAGAUUUCUAAACCUUCAAAAUUCAAAAGAGAUUCAUUAAGUCAGGAAACACAUAUUGAGUUAUGUGUUUAUUACAAAAAAGUCAGGGUGAGCCCAUCUUGCAACAGUCCAGGCAAACAUCCCCAGGGGCUGCACAUAAUUACUGCCUACAAAUUUGCUCCUUUCAACCAAUUAGGAAACAAAUGAAAUUUGACAUCUGCGUUGACGCAGUAAAUGCAUGGUCAGAUUAUUUACACCAAUGACUUUCUGAAGAGGAUAAGCCCGUGUUCAGUUGUUAUGCCCUUGGGAAAAAUAGACUAGUACUGUCAGCAUUUCAUUCACACACCAUUCAACAAGUCAAAAUGGUACCUCUGUGGCGGGCCAAGUCUGGUGGUUAAAACUCCUCAAUAAUACACUCCAUAAGGCUACAAAUUGUUCCACUGGAGGGGUCAUUGAGGUAAAUGCCUGUCAGGUUAUUCAGAGGAAGGAACAAUAACAUACAUGGUGUUGAGGUAACAUAUUUUCUUCUGUGAUAACAAUUUUAAUUCUUUUCUCAGUUUGCUCUGCUCAAAUUGAAUUGCUUGUUGUAUUUUCUUCAUCACAGCACUGACUGAAUUUAAAAGGGGCUUAAUUGACUGCAAAAUGCUUUGGGACAUCCCAAAGUCAUAAAGCCAAGAUUUGCUCCUUCUUCAAUUCAAAAGGGCAUUAUCUGAAUGUCAGAAUGUUAGACACUGUCUCUAUUCCUAUCACAGUGCAAUAGAAAAUCCAUUUCAGUCAAUGUUAAGACAUCUCUGUGGCACAGCAUAACCCACUGUAAUUCAGUUUUCCUCUCUGAUUUUCACAUCUCUGUUUACAAAUGACUGGGACUAUGGCAUUAAUAAUAAUUUGCAAAAUCAUGCUUGACUUACUGACGACAAAGAAAAAAUACAGGCAUUGAAACAUAAAAAUACAUUGUGGCGACUCACCGUCUAGUCGGGCGAACCGGCCCGGCAGUCGGGUCACGCGGUGUCGGAGCGACGAGGCCCAAGAUGGCGGCGGGCCUCGUCUUUCCAAGCGACGGGGAGAACCCGCGCGCGGGAAAGCCCUGAUGACGUAGGACUUACGUCAUUGCCGGUUUUUUGGGCGGGAGUUUUCUCCCUUAAAGGGCCCGCGCAAGGCGGGAAAAU